RNAcentral lists this transfer RNA (74 nucleotides) under Thermoplasmata archaeon. RNAcentral describes it as "tRNA-Ala". It matches the Rfam family "tRNA". Rfam says of the family: Transfer RNA (tRNA) molecules are approximately 80 nucleotides in length. Their secondary structure includes four short double-helical elements and three loops (D, anti-codon, and T loops). Lineage: Archaea; Methanobacteriati; Thermoplasmatota; Thermoplasmata. The record is from RNAcentral.
GGGCCCAUAGAUCAGACUGGUAGAUCGCUGCCUUCGCAAGGCAGAGGCCUCGGGUUCAAAUCCCGAUGGGUCCA